RNAcentral lists this ribosomal RNA (253 nucleotides) under uncultured bacterium. RNAcentral describes it as "partial 16S ribosomal RNA". It matches the Rfam family "Bacterial small subunit ribosomal RNA", at positions 524 to 776 of the family's 1533-position model. The record is from RNAcentral.
UACGAAGGGGGCGAGCGUUAUUCGGAAUCACUGGGCGUAAAGCGUGCGUAGGCCGUUUUGUAAGUCAGGAGUGAAAGCCCGGGGCUCAACCCCGGAAUUGCUCUUGAAACUACAAAACUAGAAUUCGGGAGAGGAUAGCGGAAUUGUCAGUGUAGCAGUGAAAUGCGUAGAUAUUGACAGGAACACCAGUGGCGUAAGCGGCUAUCUGGACCGAUAUUGACGCUGAGGCACGAAAGCGUGGGGAUCAAACAGG